CCACACGUUGAUGGUGCGAAGACCUGAUGUCUCUGUUGUUUGGAUACGUGUGUGAGUUAACGAGCUACUGGGAGAAGACGAAGAAGCUUUUGCAGAAACAUGAGGAUAUUGAGGGAAAUGCUGCUGCUAACCAUUUGGAUUAUAUUGCUGUCUGACACUCAGCUUCUGCAGAUAACACAAGGUGAAGGAAUACCUUUGAAAAGCCAAAACCCUGCAGAAGGACUUCCUUAUUCAUGGUGCACGGACUAUGGUACCAGAAAUGUAAGUCAUGCCUGAAGCAGUGAUUGAGCACCUGGUGGGAAGGCAGGGCCAACCCAGGGGAGCUCAGGUUCAUGCAGUGCACCUGAGUGGAAGGGGUGGAGUCAGGAUUGACCCCUUCCCAGACCUCAUUUAAGGGUUGGCAGUGGAAGCAAAGUUAUCUUGCUGGAUAUCACUGCCUACCUGCAGCUUUCUAAGGGAAUGCAGAUUUUUUUUUUCUUCCUUUCUUUCUGUGUUUACAGCUGUUGCAUUUGAGCAUGUCUUCUCUUGUUGCAGCCUAGGACAUUGCUACUCUGUUGUCAUUGUUGUGUUUUCCAUCACGUAGCAGCAUUGCAACCAUUUUUCUUACCCUUUCGUAGGCUGGUAUCUAGCAUGACAUAAAUCAGUAAUAGGAGAAGAUCUUCAGUCUGAAAGAAGACCAUCACAUAUGUUCACUGAGAUGAUGUACAUUGUUAGCUGAUGAAUAGUUCACGAAGACUUUAUAUAGAGAGAAUGGGAUUAUUUUCACUUGGACUGUUUGUGUGAUGGAGGGAGGAUGUAGGAGCAGCAGAGAGGGAUUGGUUGAUUCCCUUGUUAUUUAUACAGAACUUCAAAAAGCUCCUGAAGCAGACAACGAUAGCUGCUUCUUUCCUUUCUGUGUGUGUGUUUUGUGUUCAUAAGAAAACUGGUCAUUCUGAGUAUCUUAAAUUUUCAGUAGCUAAUGUGUAAUCAAGAGUUUUCCUGUAGGAAAGUUUUCAUAUUGAGGAAACUGUAAGCAGUACUGCCUUAAUGCUAGAGCUAUUCUUGAUUUGAUGAGAAUAGCAAUGAUAGAUGGUGUAUGUGUGAAGAAAGACAGUAAUGUUUGAGUACCCUGUAUGCCAGCUCUAAUCGCUCACUGAUGUAAUAUAUGUUGCAAUGGCCUGUGUUUGUGAAAGCAUAGUAAUUACCUUUCCAGAGAAAUGAA
This 1201-nucleotide long non-coding RNA is filed under the name Phasianus colchicus (ring-necked pheasant). RNAcentral describes it as "lncRNA (ENSPCLG00000002032.1)". Lineage: Eukaryota; Metazoa; Chordata; Aves; Galliformes; Phasianidae. The record is from RNAcentral.